RNAcentral lists this long non-coding RNA (210 nucleotides) under Carica papaya (papaya). RNAcentral describes it as "long non-coding RNA (CPAP_LNC015716)". The record is from RNAcentral. Lineage: Eukaryota; Viridiplantae; Streptophyta; Magnoliopsida; Brassicales; Caricaceae.
AACUUUUUUCUAUAAUAUGUUAUCACUUAGACAAAAAACAGUAAGAAGUAUAAUUGAGCUGAAGUGUUUGAUUUUGCAUAUAAUCUUAUCGUUAGAUCAUCCAAAUUUACUUCAAGUCAAAUUUACAUCCAAAAUAACGAUGAAUACAUAGAAGCCGGUGUAAAAGUAAGUCACAAGAUCUUUUGGUUCUUUUUUUUUUAUAUGUUGGGU